GUUCCCUAUAUUUUGAUUGGCCAUCCAUUUUCACAUUGAAACUAGGAAUUUAGAGUUAGACACAUUGGUGAAGUUGAAAAAUUCCUCUAUACUCUUGUACUUGUUGACUUUGACCUUGUAUCCUCUGUUGGCCAUGUUGGCCAUGACAUAAUAUUGUCCUUCAAACACCUUUCUGCUGAAGAAAAUUGUGUUCUGCAUUUAGCAAUAUUCUAAGUCCACAAAAAAAACAGACAUGGCAAAACAGAACCAUACAUGCAUUUGGAUUUAAAUAUUAUGUAAUAAAAUUCAGAUCAUGUAUAGACUCUCGAUGAUAUUUCCUUUAGAGUAUGUUGUUAGUACUUUCCUUCUGGUCCUUGCACCCACACUUUUAAGUGAUUUCCUACAAACUUUUGAGUGUAUACCUUGCUGGAGUAACAGAGUAGCUAAAAGAGGGUCAAUGAUUGCAGAUUGUGUCUGCCAAAAGUGGCAGUAACUGGGUUAGUUCACUCUUACUUUGAAUGUUCAAGUCGAUCUCUCUUUUUGCUUCUGAAUGAAGAAAUGGCUAGGAAGAUUUUUGUGCCUGUUCCUUGUUCUAAAUGUUCAAGCGGGUGCACUUGGAAAGGAACCUACUAUUUCUUUGCUUUAUCUGUAGGCAAGAGUCAUUUUAGUUUAUAAAAAAUUUCUGAAAAUUGUCAUGCAUAGUAUCAUAGUAAUGUUGGUUCUUAGAGUUGAUUCAAUGGACUUUUAGGAUAAUGUUAAUAGAAAUUGAGAAAGUUCUACUUGGAUGAUUGAACCCACUACUUUGUGCUGUUCCAAGAAAUGGAGCUGUGUGGGAGAUCAAAGUGCAUUCUGUCAGAGGCUGCGUAAUGGAAUGAUUGCGUGUAAUAAUCGAUUUCAAUCAUUCUGUCUGUAAUAAUCGAUUAUCAUACUUGGUAAUUGAUUAUUAACUACAGGACAAGUUUAACGGAUAGUCUAACUGUUAGGGGUUGGAAGGUAUACGAGAGAAGAAGAAAGUAUAUGAGAGAAGAAGAAGGACACUGAACGAUGAAGAGCAGGGAGAGGUUGAGCCGAACGGUGGAAGGCGGUAGAGGAGAAGAAGAAGAGCACCGAAUGGUGGAAGGCGACGAAGAAUCGAGCCAAACGGCUGAAGAACUGGAGCCGAUCGAUUGAAGAAUCCUAACUGUUGUAGCAGUGAGGCUGGGCGGGAAAUAAUUAUAGUAAACAGAGUUAUAUCAUGGGAAAAUAUUCAGUAUAAGAUAAUUAUAGUAAAUAGAGCUAUAUUAAGAGAAAUAUUCAAUAUAAGAUAAUUAUAGUAAAUAGAGCUAUAUUAUAGGGAAAUAUUCAGUAUAAGAUAAUUAUAGU
This 1341-nucleotide small RNA is filed under the name Vigna angularis var. angularis. Its description in RNAcentral is "Non-protein coding transcript". The record is from RNAcentral. Lineage: Eukaryota; Viridiplantae; Streptophyta; Magnoliopsida; Fabales; Fabaceae.